RNAcentral lists this ribosomal RNA (377 nucleotides) under uncultured bacterium. RNAcentral describes it as "bacterial SSU rRNA". It matches the Rfam family "Bacterial small subunit ribosomal RNA", at positions 523 to 898 of the family's 1533-position model. The record is from RNAcentral.
CUACGUAGGUGGCAAGCGUUGUCCGGAAUUAUUGGGCGUAAAGCGCGCGCAGGCGGUCCUUUAAGUCUGAUGUGAAAGCCCCCGGCUCAACCGGGGAGGGUCAUUGGAAACUGGGGGACUUGAGUGCAGAAGAGGAGAGUGGAAUUCCACGUGUAGCGGUGAAAUGCGUAGAGAUGUGGAGGAACACCAGUGGCGAAGGCGACUCUCUGGUCUGUAAUUGACGCUGAGGCUCGAAAGCGUGGGGAGCAAACAGGAUUAGAUACCCUGGUAGUCCACGCCGUAAACGAUGAGUGCUAAGUGUUGGAGGGUUUCCGCCCUUCAGUGCUGGAGCUAACGCAUUAAGCACUCCGCCUGGGGAGUACGGCCGCAAGGCUGAA